GCUGGCUAUGGUGCCACGUGCCUGUAGCUUCAGCUAAAUGGGAGGCUGAGGCUGGAAGAUUGCUUGAAACCAGGAGUUCUGGUCUGCAGUGCUCUAUGCAGAUUGGGUAUCUGCACUAAGUUCAGCAUCAAUAUGGUGAAUUCCUGGGUGCAGGGAACCACCAGUUUGCCUAAGGAAGGGUUAACUAGCCUAGGUCAGAAAUGGAGCAAGUCAAAACUCCCAUGCUGAUCAGUAGAGUGGGAUUGUGCCUGUGAAUAGUCACUGCACUCCAGCCUGGGCAACUUAGUGAGAACCUGCCUUA
Molecule: signal recognition particle RNA, 301 nt
Filed under: Carlito syrichta (Philippine tarsier)
Lineage: Eukaryota; Metazoa; Chordata; Mammalia; Primates; Tarsiidae
Description: Metazoan signal recognition particle RNA (ENSTSYG00000035457.1)
Rfam family: Metazoan signal recognition particle RNA
About the family: The signal recognition particle (SRP) is a universally conserved ribonucleoprotein.
Source: RNAcentral